Molecule: transfer RNA, 90 nt
Filed under: Candidatus Marinamargulisbacteria bacterium SCGC AG-410-N11
Lineage: Bacteria; Bacillati; Candidatus Margulisiibacteriota; Candidatus Marinamargulisbacteria
Description: tRNA-Ser
Rfam family: tRNA
About the family: Transfer RNA (tRNA) molecules are approximately 80 nucleotides in length. Their secondary structure includes four short double-helical elements and three loops (D, anti-codon, and T loops). Further hydrogen bonds mediate the characteristic L-shaped molecular structure. tRNAs have two regions of fundamental functional importance: the anti-codon, which is responsible for specific mRNA codon recognition, and the 3' end, to which the tRNAs corresponding amino acid is attached (by aminoacyl-tRNA synthetases). tRNAs cope with the degeneracy of the genetic code in two manners: having more than one tRNA (with a specific anti-codon) for a particular amino acid; and 'wobble' base-pairing, i.e. permitting non-standard base-pairing at the 3rd anti-codon position.
Source: RNAcentral
GGAAAGGUGUCCGAGUGGUUUAAGGAGCACGCCUGGAACGCGUGUAUAUAGGCAACUGUAUCGUGGGUUCGAAUCCCACCCUUUCCGCCA